CCAACAGGGAUUGCUCUAGUAACGGCGAGUGAAGCAGCAAUAGCUCAAAUUUGAAAUCUGGCGUCUUCGACGUCCGAGUUGUAAUUUGUAGAGGAUGCUUCUGAGUGGCCACCGACCUAAGUUCCUUGGAACAGGACGUCAUAGAGGGUGAGAAUCCCGUAUGCGGUCGGAAAGGCGCUCUAUACGUAGCUCCUUCGACGAGUCGAGUUGUUUGGGAAUGCAGCUCUAAAUGGGAGGUAAAUUUCUUCUAAAGCUAAAUAUUGGCCAGAGACCGAUAGCGCACAAGUAGAGUGAUCGAAAGAUGAAAAGCACUUUGGAAAGAGAGUUAAAAAGCACGUGAAAUUGUUAAAAGGGAAGGGAUUGCAACCAGACUUGCUCGCGGUGUUCCGCCGGUCUUCUGACCGGUCUACUCGCCGCGUUGCAGGCCAGCAUCGUCUGGUGCCGCUGGAUAAGACUUGAGGAAUGUAGCUCCCUCGGGAGUGUUAUAGCCUCUUGUGAUGCAGCGAGCGCCGGGCGAGGUCCGCGCUUCGGCUAGGAUGCUGGCGUAAUGGUCGUAAUCCGCCCGUCUUGAAACACGGACCAAGGAGUCUAACAUCUAUGCGAGUGUUCGGGUGUCAAACCCCUACGCGUAAUGAAAGUGAACGGAGGUGAGAACCGCAAGGUGCAUCAUCGACCGAUCCUGAUGUCUUCCGGAUGGAUUUUGAGUAAAAGCAUAGCUGUUGGGGA
RNAcentral lists this ribosomal RNA (726 nucleotides) under Cladosporium sp. Its description in RNAcentral is "partial large subunit ribosomal RNA". It matches the Rfam family "Eukaryotic large subunit ribosomal RNA", at positions 65 to 815 of the family's 3401-position model. The record is from RNAcentral. Lineage: Eukaryota; Fungi; Ascomycota; Dothideomycetes; Cladosporiales; Cladosporiaceae.